UAACGCGAAGAACCUUACCUACACUUGACAUCCUCGGAACUUUCUAGAGAUAGAUUGGUGCCUUCGGGAACCGAGUGACAGGUGCUGCAUGGCUGUCGUCAGCUCGUGUCGUGAGAUGUUGGGUUAAGUCCCGUAACGAGCGCAACCCUUAUCCUUAAUUGCCAGCGGUUCGGCCGGGAACUCUAAGGAGACUGCCGAUGACAAAUCGGAGGAAGGUGGGGACGACGUCAAGUCAUCAUGGCCCUUACGUCCAGGGCUACACACGUGCUACAAUGGCCGGUACAGAGGGCAGCCAUCCUGUGAAGGAGCGCGAAUCUCGAAAGCCGGUCUCAGUUCGGAUCGAAGUCUGCAACCCGACUUCGUGAAGCUGGAAUCGCUAGUAAUCGCGCAUCAGCCAUGGCGCGGUGAAUACGUUCCCGGGUCUUGUACACACCG
This 435-nucleotide ribosomal RNA is filed under the name uncultured bacterium. RNAcentral's name for it is "bacterial SSU rRNA". It matches the Rfam family "Bacterial small subunit ribosomal RNA", at positions 957 to 1392 of the family's 1533-position model. The record is from RNAcentral.